Molecule: ribosomal RNA, 411 nt
Filed under: bacterium
Lineage: Bacteria
Also listed under: 2 other names
Description: bacterial SSU rRNA
Rfam family: Bacterial small subunit ribosomal RNA
Source: RNAcentral
GUGGGGAAUCUUGCGCAAUGGGCGAAAGCCUGACGCAGCGACGCCGCGUGCGGGAUGACGGCCUUCGGGUUGUAAACCGCUUUCAGCAGGGACGAGGCCGCAAGGUGACGGUACCUGCAGAAGAAGCCCCGGCUAACUACGUGCCAGCAGCCGCGGUAAUACGUAGGGGGCGAGCGUUAUCCGGAUUCAUUGGGCGUAAAGCGCGCGUAGGCGGCCAGUUAGGUCGGGAGUCAAAUUUCGGGGCUCAACCCCGUCUCGCUCCCGAUACCGGCUGGCUUGAGUGUGGUAGGGGAAGGCGGAAUUCCCGGUGUAGCGGUGGAAUGCGCAGAUAUCGGGAAGAACACCGGUGGCGAAGGCGGCCUUCUGGGCCAUCACUGACGCUGAGGCGCGAAAGCUAGGGGAGCAAACAGG